UUUUCCUACGGGACGCAGCAGUGGGGGAUAUUGCACAAUGGGGGAAACCCUGAUGCAGCGACGCCGCGUGGGCGAAGAAGUAUUUCGGUAUGUAAAGCCCUAUCAGCAGGGAAGAAGAAAUGACGGUACCUGAGUAAGAAGCACCGGCUAAAUACGUGCCAGCAGCCGCGGUAAUACGUAGGGGGCAAGCGUUAUCCGGAUUUACUGGGUGUAAAGGGAGCGUAGACGGAAAGGCAAGUCAGAAGUGAAAACCCAAGGCUCAACCAUGGGACUGCUUUUGAAACUGUCAAACUAGAGUACGGGAG
Molecule: ribosomal RNA, 305 nt
Filed under: uncultured bacterium
Lineage: Bacteria
Description: bacterial SSU rRNA
Rfam family: Bacterial small subunit ribosomal RNA
Source: RNAcentral